RNAcentral lists this ribosomal RNA (304 nucleotides) under uncultured bacterium. Its description in RNAcentral is "partial 16S ribosomal RNA". It matches the Rfam family "Bacterial small subunit ribosomal RNA", at positions 506 to 807 of the family's 1533-position model. The record is from RNAcentral.
CAGCAGUAGCCGCGGUAAUACGGAGGGAGCUAGCGUUAUUCGGAAUUACUGGGCGUAAAGCGCACGUAGGCGGCUUUGUAAGUUAGAGGUGAAAGCCUGGAGCUCAACUCCAGAAUUGCCUUUAAGACUGCAUCGCUUGAAUCCAGGAGAGGUGAGUGGAAUUCCGAAUGUAGAGGUGAAAUUCGUAGAUAUUCGGAAGAACACCAGUGGCGAAGGCGGCUCACUGGCUCGAUACUGACGCUGAGGUGCGAAAGCGUGGGGAGCAAACAGGAUUAGAUACCCCUGUAGUCCCUGUCUCUUAUAC